Molecule: ribosomal RNA, 471 nt
Filed under: uncultured Thiomonas sp.
Lineage: Bacteria; Pseudomonadati; Pseudomonadota; Betaproteobacteria; Burkholderiales
Description: bacterial SSU rRNA
Rfam family: Bacterial small subunit ribosomal RNA
Source: RNAcentral
UUACCAUGCAGUCGAACGGCAGCGCGGGGUAACCUGGCGGCGAGUGGCGAACGGGUGAGUAAUACAUCGGAACGUGCCCUGUGAUGGGGGAUAACUACGCGAAAGCGUAGCUAAUACCGCAUACGACCUACGGGUGAAAGUGGGGGAUCGCAAGACCUCACGUCAUAGGAGCGGCCGAUGGCGGAUUAGCUAGUUGGUGAGGUAAAGGCUUACCAAGGCAACGAUCCGUAGCUGGUCUGAGAGGACGACCAGCCACACUGGGACUGAGACACGGCCCAGACUCCUACGGGAGGCAGCAGUGGGGAAUCUUGGACAAUGGGGGCAACCCUGAUCCAGCAAUGCCGCGUGUGGGAUGAAGGCCUUCGGGUUGUAAACCACUUUUGGCGGGGGCGAAAUAUCGAGUGCUAAUACCAUUCGGUGAUGACGGUACCCGCAGAAUAAGCACCGGCUAACUACGUGCCAGCAGCCGGG